AAGACUAUAGACCUGCGGAGUACCUGCGGAAGGAUCAUUACCGAGUUUACAACUCCCAAACCCUAUGUGAACGUUACCAAACUGUUGCCUCGGCGGGAUCUCUGCCCCGGGUGCGUCGCAGCCCCGGACCAAGGCGCCCGCCGGAGGACCAACCAAAAACUCUUUUGUAUACCCCCUCGCGGGUUUUUUAUAUCUGAGCCAUCUCGGCGCCUCUCGUAGGCGUUUCGAAAAUGAAUCAAA
This 240-nucleotide unclassified non-coding RNA is filed under the name soil metagenome. Its description in RNAcentral is "partial contains 5.8S ribosomal RNA, internal transcribed spacer 2, and large subunit ribosomal RNA". The record is from RNAcentral.